AACGCACAUUGCACCCUUUGGUUUUUAUCAAAGGGUAUGUCUGUUUGAGAAUCGUAUUACCAUUUCAAGCCUAACACGUUUGGCUUGUAAUUGAGGCCUUAACUGGGUGGGUUGAGUAAGGCAAAGCAGGCAUUCUUGCUUUGCUAGCUUAGCUUAGCUCUACUCCUUGUUGGCCUUUAAAUUGAGGGAUUGACGCCAAGCUGGCCUAUGUAUCAGCCGGUCUUAGGGCUCUGUGUGGUAAGGUGUGUAUAAUGUCAGUUUAGUUUAAUUGACAUGACAACGCCAAUAGCACUUUGCUCGUUCGUUUAGUCUAUAAACUAGACUGGACGAGGGAUCGUCUGAGGGACUGCUUGUGCUUGUCAGCCAAAACCCAAGCAUCGCAUGGCACGCAAGUACAUGCUUGCUUACUCAAUGCGACACGACACGCCGCAUUGGUUACUUGAUCUCAAAUCAGACAAGACUACCCGCUGAACUUAA
This 477-nucleotide unclassified non-coding RNA is filed under the name uncultured fungus. RNAcentral's name for it is "partial contains 5.8S ribosomal RNA, internal transcribed spacer 2, and large subunit ribosomal RNA". The record is from RNAcentral. Lineage: Eukaryota; Fungi.